This 339-nucleotide long non-coding RNA is filed under the name Vigna radiata. RNAcentral describes it as "long non-coding RNA (VRAD_LNC002291)". The record is from RNAcentral. Lineage: Eukaryota; Viridiplantae; Streptophyta; Magnoliopsida; Fabales; Fabaceae.
GGCGACAAUGGACCUUCUUCAUUGUUACUCAUUCCACCCCCUUCCUCGGCUGACAAACGAACAGGUGAAACGAAUGCAUCGUCAGUUGCUGCUUGUGGACAUCCAGCACUCUGAAAACCGUCAUCUGCAGUUGACUUUUUACUUCUUCUUUUGGCCUUCUCUUUCUCCAACUCUUGCUCUAAGUCAUUCACCUCCCUUUUAAGUUUUUCAAUUAAACACUUCUGAUCCUCUGCAGUGCGCAUCAAACUCUACCUGUGUUCUUUUUUUAGCAAUUUCUUUUUUCUUCGCUCUGCAUAGUUUUUUGGUGCUGCUUCUUCUUCUAUGACAUCUUUGUCAUCC